ACCCUGAUCAGAGUUCUAUGACUCCCAGCUAAACGGGCUUGCACAGAACCAAGAUGGCAUAAGCUGAAUACAGCUGUGAUUUGCUUAUUUAUAACAGCUCUGUCUCUUUGAAAAAGAGACAUCAUUUAACAAUUAUGAGAGAAAAAAUCAAGCUCACUUCUAUCAUAAAUGUUGGCUGACAUUAGGGGGCUUUGACUUAUUUCUAACCCAGUGAGAUUUAAUUCUGCCACCCUCAACCCAUACUAAGAGAAAUUGGAAUCAUUCAUUAUUUAGAGGGAGAGUCCAAAUAAUAUUGCAAUAUCACAGGCUUCCUUUAAAAGCCCUUCUCCUGAUGGAAUCUCUGAUUUUCCUUUC
Molecule: long non-coding RNA, 354 nt
Filed under: Bos taurus (domestic cattle)
Lineage: Eukaryota; Metazoa; Chordata; Mammalia; Artiodactyla; Bovidae
Description: long non-coding RNA NONBTAT015353
Source: RNAcentral